Molecule: ribosomal RNA, 443 nt
Filed under: uncultured bacterium
Lineage: Bacteria
Description: partial 16S ribosomal RNA
Rfam family: Bacterial small subunit ribosomal RNA
Source: RNAcentral
CCUACGGGCGACAGCAGUGGGGAAUAUUGGGCAAUGGAGGCAACUCUGACCCAGCAACGCCGCGUGAAUGAUGAAGGCUUUCGGGUUGUAAACUUCUUUUCACAGGGAAGAAUAAAGUGCCGUACCCUUCGAAUUACGCCUCGGCUAACUACGUCCCAGCAGCGGCGGUAAUACGUAGGAGCCGAGCGUUGUCGGGUAUAACUGGGUGUAAAGGGCGCGUAGGUGGUUUGACAAGUUAGUGGCGAAACUCCGAGGCUCACCCGAGGAACUACUACUGAAACUGUGGUACUUGAGUGCAGGAGGGGCAGACGGAAUGCCUAGUGUAGCGGUGGAAUGCGUAGAUAUUAGGAGGAACACCAGUGGCGAAGGCGGGUUGCUAGACUGCAACUGACACUGAGGCACGAAAGCGUGGGGAGCAAACAGGAUUAGAUACCCUUGUAGUC